AACGAACGCUGGCGGCAUGCCUAACACAUGCAAGUCGAACGAGACCUUCGGGUCUAGUGGCGCACGGGUGCGUAACGCGUGGGAACCUGCCCUUAGGUUCGGAAUAACUCCCCGAAAGGGGUGCUAAUACCGGAUAAUGUCUUCGGACCAAAGAUUUAUCGCCUUUGGAUGGGCCCGCGUUGGAUUAGCUAGUUGGUAGGGUAAAAGCCUACCAAGGCGACGAUCCAUAGCUGGUCUGAGAGGAUGAUCAGCCACACUGGGACUGAGACACGGCCCAGACUCCUACGGGAGGCAGCAGUGGGGAAUAUUGGACAAUGGGCGAAAGCCUGAUCCAGCAAUGCCGCGUGAGUGAUGAAGGCAUUAGGGUUGUAAAGCUCUUUUACCCGGGAUGAUAAUGACAGUACCGGGAGAAUAAGCUCCGGCUAACUACGUG
This 433-nucleotide ribosomal RNA is filed under the name uncultured bacterium. RNAcentral describes it as "partial 16S ribosomal RNA". It matches the Rfam family "Bacterial small subunit ribosomal RNA", at positions 29 to 507 of the family's 1533-position model. The record is from RNAcentral.